This 4264-nucleotide long non-coding RNA is filed under the name Marmota monax (woodchuck). The stretch from base 2497 to 2569 matches the Rfam family "Small nucleolar RNA SNORD93". Lineage: Eukaryota; Metazoa; Chordata; Mammalia; Rodentia; Sciuridae. The record is from RNAcentral.
CUGCGCGGAUGCGAUCGGCCCAGGGCCCUUUUAAAAUUGAUCUCCCAGGCGCCCUCUCUUUUCGGUCGCAGCACGCUGCUCGGUAAGUGCGUACCGACCCGCCAAGCGUGGGAGCCCGCCACGUGGCUGAGGGUCUCGCCGGCGGGUGGCCCUUUCCCGAGCCCGGGACAGGGGUUCGGCCUCAGCUCGGCGCCAAGGGCGGGGCCCCUGUAGGUGCAGAAGUCCAACAAUUGGACUUAACCAAGACCGAGGCGCAGAUCCAGGGACCCCCUCCGGGUUUUAAGCGCCCCUGGGGCUCCCGCCUGCCCGGUUGUUGGGGACCGCGACAUAGCCUACUUAGGAAAUCGAUGAGAUCUGAGGUCUGAAGCGCUUUAAGUUUCCGAGCAGAACAGUAUAAUUCCAGUGCUAGCAACAAGCGGAGGUAAUUUCGCCCACAUUGCCACUUUCCCGCCACAAAUGCUUUCCAGUUGCCACUUUGCGGAGUUUGUAUUUUUAAAAAGGUUUGAGUGAAUCUUCCGGUAGCCGAUGACUGCAGUGAGUCAAGCAGAGAGCUGGGAGGUUUCCUGAGGGAUCCCACAAUUUUCUCCCCCAGAUCCACCUGGAGAGGCUGGUGUGCUGCACAGGGUCCCUUGCAAAAUGUGCUGGGGGCCAGGCCUGUCUUGCUUGGUCCUAUGGAGGGUGGAGGGUGGAGAGGGGAUGUGCUUGGACAAGGGGUUAGACACCUAACUUCUGUCCCCAAGAUGUAAGAAGCAUACAAAGCUGCCCUUGAGAAAGUUUGUCUGAAGGAAGAAUUUCCAAGCCUUGGGGCUUGUGUGUUUGGUUUUUUUUUUUUAAGCAUCCUGACAAUUCUAAAUGUAAUGCACUCUAGGGCGCUAAACUGCUGUACAAAAGGAUAUUUUCUGAAUUUGUCAAAAACUAUAAAGAUCUAAAUUUAGACAAGUGAAUGAAAGACUCAUUGUGUCUGUAAUAGGAACCACUUAGUAGUCUUUUGUUUUUGUUUUUCAAUGCAUAUGACAUCUUUAUUGAGGUAUUAAUAUUCAAUUAAUUGUGUUUAUUUAAUGAGUGCAAUUCAAGGAAUAUCAACAGCAUUUUGUAAACUUUUCCAGAGAAUAUUUUGAAUAAUGAGAAACUACUUGUGUAUACUGCUAAAAAUAAUCUACUGACAACACUAAGUAAUGAAAAUAUAUAUAUAUAGGGUAACUGACACUCUCAUGUAUGCCUGGUGCAAAAUUAGAAUAAUCGCUUUUUAUUUUAGUCAGCUUUUCAUUAGUAUUACACACACACCAACUAAUUUAUAAAGAGAGUGGAAUUAUUUUGGCUCAGUUAUGUAGGUUCUAGUUCUUGAUAGACUGGCUCUGUUUGUUUGGGGUAUGUGGCAAGAUAGCACAUUAUGGCAGUAGUCUUAUAAGACUUUUUUUUUAGUCUUAUAAGUCUUGUGUUUGACAUGUGUUCCUCAGCUCUGAUAGACUCUUACUACCCUUUCAAUACGAGGAAGCUGAAUGGGACAUCAAUUUUACUGGUUUGAAAGAGGAAAGAAGGGCAGUGAUGUAACCUGUGUUCUAGGCACCUUUUGUUCAGCCACAAAUCUAGACCCAAGCAACGAACAGAUUGUCAAAUAGCCCAGUGACACAAGAACCUCCAAUGGGUAUUUUUUGUUUUACCAUUGAUUUAGGUGUUGAGGAUUCCUGUUGAACCAAACUAGGUUAACAUUCAGUUUGAUGCAGGCUGAGAGCCUGGCAUGUCAAGGAAGCAGCCCUGAGCCAGUGUCUAUUUAAGGAUUUGGAAACUGAGCAAGUGCCCAGGACUAGAAACUUCUCAACCCUAGGCUCUCAGCCUCAGGGUAAAAAAGUUUCAUGCUUCUUUUAAUUUUAAAUCUGUGAAAAGUUUAUUUCAGUUUUUUAGGAGAAUACUGUAUCCAAGUAAUGUUUCUUUUCCAAACUUGAUACUAUUGCAUGCUAAUGUAACAAAGAGAUAAAGUUGGAAAGAUGGCAACUGCUAAAGUAAAAUUGAUUCCCAGAGUAUAAGGAACUUAAAAUCUUUGGAAUUGUCAGGAAUUUGGAGACCAUAGCUUUGUAUUUUAUCUAUUCAUCAAAGACAGCUAGUAGAUAGCCACAAUACAGGCCACUCUUUAAACAACAAAGCUGGAUUAUCAUUAUUAUUAUUAUUAUUAUUUCUCCGGGGAUUGAACUCAGUGGCAUUGACCACUGAGCCACCUCCCCAGCCCUAUUUUGUAUUUUAUUUAGAGACAGGAUCUCACUGACUUGCUUAGUGUUUCUCACUUUUGCUGAGGCUGGCUUUGAACUCGUGAACCUCCUGCCUCAGCCGCCCAAACCACUGGGAUUACAGGUAUGUGCCAUCAUACUCAGUCGGAUAUUCUUAACAUUAACCUUGUUGUUACUUUUUUGCCAGGCUCAGUGGUGAUCAAGAUCCUGAAGAACAAAAGGUAUGGACCAAAUGGAAACAAUUUGGCUUGAGUUCAUAGUGGAAUAGAAUUCUUGGCCAAGGAUGAGAACUCUAACCUGAUUGGAUAUGUUCUGCUCUGAUGGGUUAAAGGAUUUACCUGAGGCCAACUUGGUAUACAGGAAUUUAGUAAAUGCAGUCACACCAUUCCUUUUAAAAUUCUGCUUUACACAGAAGAGGGCGAAAGCCUCUAGUAAAUGGAUUAAUGCUUCAUCAAGCCAAGAGAGUUAAAAUUUUUUGAGUUAAAAAUUUUGUGGGUUUUUUGUUUUGUUUUGUUUUGUUUUUGCAUGUGUGUACACUAAAAUGUUUGUGUCAACAAUGGGUACAUUGGGGAUUCUGUUUCUUAUUUCUGCAGUUUUUGUAAACAUAGUCUGAGGGCUCUGGGGAUUUAGCUCAGAUGGUAGAGUGCUUGCUUUGCAAGGCCAUGGGUUCGAUCCCAAGCACCACACACACAAAAGAACAUAGUUUAGAUACUACUAUAUUAUUUUAUUGAUUAGUAAUUGCUGACCUAAUAAUCUACUGUAUUUCUUUUACAGGUCUGAUGCAUGAAAGAAUCAGUAAAGCUGUUCAAGUAAUAAGGUAUAUGGCUGUAUGGAAUAGAGGUUUUGAUGUCUUUGUCCCUUUCUUGGUGGUCACAGAGGUGAAUUUUGAGACAGUCCUAAUUACAUAUAUGAGCAUAUCUGGGAAUUGUACCUCUGCCCUGUAGCUGAAUUGGACUCUUAGAGUCAUUUCUGUAGAAUUUAGUUCCACAUUUAGAUUUUCUGUUAGCAAGGCUAGUUUGAAACUUGACACAGAAUUAACAUUAAAGAUUGUCUUUAUUGUUGGUUCAUAGACUCUACAAAGAUGACCAAGGCUGGUUCAUUAAGAUCAGAGCCAGGAGGGGUGGUACACACCUGUAAUGCCAGUAGCUCAGGAAGCUGAGGCAGGAGAAUCACAAGUUCAAAGCCAGCCUCAGCAACUUAGUGAAGCCCUGUCUCUAAAUAAAUAUUUAAAAAGGGCUGGGGUUGUGGCUCAGUGGUUAAGUACCCCUGGAUUCAACUCAUGGUACCAAAAAGAAAAAAAGAUCAGUUAGAAUAAUUCUAAAUUAAAUAGCUAUUUUAAAAAGUAUCUUAAGAAAUUGUUGACUGCUUUAAUUUACAAAAGUCAUUAUAAAAUUAUUCUUACUAUUCCAGACAAUCAUGUGCUUUUAUUGUAUACUCAAUUAGUAGAGGCGUAAAUAUGGUAGGACUAGAAUUAAAUUCUAAGAUUUACCUCUUAACCUGAGCAAAAUAUCUGUACAUCAUAGCAAAAUUUGAAACUGUCCUCAUUGUUGGUUGACUAAAGAAAAGUUUAAAAUACUUUCAAAAACUUGGCUUUGUGUGUUUUGUAUGCUUCCAUCUUUUUUCACAGCCGAUCAUUUUGGUGAUUAGAUCUGACCCUCUUGACAGAAAAUGGAUCAAUUGAUUCCAAGAACAGGAAGGGGUUGAUUGCAAAGGGCUAGGAGGGGAUUUUCGAAGUGAUUUUUACAUCUUGUUCUACAUCUUGAUCAUCUUGGUGAUUGCAUGAUUAUGUGUUUGUCAAAUAUCACACUUAACAGGAUGAAUUUUACAGAAUAUAAAUUCGUACUAAAAUAAGCAUGACUUUAAAAACAUCCUUUCUGGUAUCUUAAUAACGUUUCCAAAGCGAUCUAUGGGAGAGUGGUUUGGGAUCACCAUUUAACAUGAUUUUAUUGAGACAUUAAGAGCAACAGAAAUGCAUGAAGAUCAUUUUUAGGGUAUAAGUGACUCAUGCACAUGAUAAAUAUCAGAGAAAAGUAAGAUACUGA